GGGUCUAUGAUGACAAACCAAUUUCACACAGAGUGGUGAUGACAUAAAAAUCAUUCUAAAGGAUGGGGAAGAAAUGGGGGCCU
This 83-nucleotide small nucleolar RNA is filed under the name Mesocricetus auratus (golden hamster). Its description in RNAcentral is "Small nucleolar RNA SNORD115". It matches the Rfam family "Small nucleolar RNA SNORD115". From Rfam's summary of the family: HBII-52 is a member of the C/D class of snoRNAs, which contain the C (UGAUGA) and D (CUGA) box motifs. The record is from Rfam by way of RNAcentral. Lineage: Eukaryota; Metazoa; Chordata; Mammalia; Rodentia; Cricetidae.